This 429-nucleotide ribosomal RNA is filed under the name Actinomycetes bacterium. RNAcentral describes it as "Actinobacteria bacterium partial 16S ribosomal RNA". It matches the Rfam family "Bacterial small subunit ribosomal RNA", at positions 355 to 776 of the family's 1533-position model. Lineage: Bacteria; Bacillati; Actinomycetota; Actinomycetes. The record is from RNAcentral.
UAGGGAAUCUUCCGCAAUGGGCGAAAGCCUGACGGAGCAACGCCGCGUGAGUGAUGAAGGUCUUCGGAUCGUAAAACUCUGUUAUUAGGGAAGAACAAAUGUGUAAGUAACUAUGCACGUCUUGACGGUACCUAAUCAGAAAGCCACGGCUAACUACGUGCCAGCAGCCGCGGUAAUACGUAGGUGGCAAGCGUUAUCCGGAAUUAUUGGGCGUAAAGCGCGCGUAGGCGGUUUUUUAAGUCUGAUGUGAAAACCCACGGCUCAACCGUGGAGGGUCAUUGGAAACUGGAAAACUUGAGUGCAGAAGAGGAAAGUGGAAUUCCAUGUGUAGCGGUGAAAUGCGCAGAGAUAUGGAGGAACACCAGUGGCGAAGGCGACUUUCUGGUCUGUAACUGACGCUGAUGUGCGAAAGCGUGGGGAUCAAACAGG